UAAAAUUUGAUAGGCCAACUACGCCCCCUAUCCGCCCGGGUACUACGAGCAUCAGCUUAAAACCCAAAGGACUUGGCGGUGCUUCACAUCCGUCUAGAGGAGCCUGUUCUAGAACCGAUAACCCCCGUUAAACCUCACCCUCCCUUGUUAAUACCGCCUAUAUACCGCCGUCGUCAGCCUACCCUGUGAAGGACUAGAAGUGAGCAAGAUUGGUAAGACCCAAAACGUCAGGUCGAGGUGUAGUGUAUGAGAGGGGAAGAAAUGGGCUACAUUUCCUAAAUCAGGAAAUACGAAUAAUGAACUGAAAUAAGCAUUAGAAGGUGGAUUUAGCAGUAAGCAGUAAAACAGAGUGUUCUGCUGAAAUUUGGC
This 369-nucleotide ribosomal RNA is filed under the name Amphiprion frenatus (tomato clownfish). Its description in RNAcentral is "partial 12S ribosomal RNA". It matches the Rfam family "Bacterial small subunit ribosomal RNA", at positions 801 to 1372 of the family's 1533-position model. Lineage: Eukaryota; Metazoa; Chordata; Actinopteri; Pomacentridae. The record is from RNAcentral.